This 218-nucleotide ribosomal RNA is filed under the name Nitrososphaerota archaeon. RNAcentral's name for it is "partial 16S ribosomal RNA". It matches the Rfam family "Archaeal small subunit ribosomal RNA", at positions 1 to 206 of the family's 1478-position model. Lineage: Archaea; Thermoproteati; Nitrososphaerota. The record is from RNAcentral.
ACUCCGGUUGAUCCUGCCGGACCCCACUGCUAUCGGGAUAGGACUAAGACAUGCUAGUCGUGCGCUUCAGCUAAAACGAGGCGCGGCAUACAGCUCAGUAACACGUGGCUAAUCUGCCCUUAGGACGAGAACAACCCCGGGAAACUGGGGCUAAAUCUUGACAGGUGAAGAACUCUGGAAUGAGUCUUCGCUUAAAAAACUUCACGUUAUGCUCGUGA